This 253-nucleotide ribosomal RNA is filed under the name uncultured bacterium. RNAcentral's name for it is "partial 16S ribosomal RNA". It matches the Rfam family "Bacterial small subunit ribosomal RNA", at positions 524 to 776 of the family's 1533-position model. The record is from RNAcentral.
UACGAAGGGGGCUAGCGUUGCUCGGAAUUACUGGGCGUAAAGGGCGCGUAGGCGGACAGUUUAGUCAGAGGUGAAAGCCCAGGGCUCAACCUUGGAAUUGCCUUUUAUACUGGCUGUCUUGAGUUCGGGAGAGGUGAGUGGAACUGCGAGUGUAGAGGUGAAAUUCGUAGAUAUUCGCAAGAACACCAGUGGCGAAGGCGGCUCACUGGCCCGGUACUGACGCUGAGGUGCGAAAGCGUGGGGAGCAAACAGG